ACAAGGGUCCUUAAAAGCAGAAGAGGCAGCAUGUGAUGUGAGAAGGCUUUGGCUGCGUUUGCUCUUUUUAAGAUGAAGGGACUUAUCCAGGAGCCAAGAAAUAAAAUAUGAAAUGUGAAAAUUCAAAGUGAGUGUCCUCUAGAAGCUUUGACAAGGAAACAGAUUCUCCCUUAGAGCUUCCAGAAAAGGAAUACAGCCCUGCCAACACCUCAGUUCCAGCCCGGGGUGGCCAGCAUCGGACUUCUGAUCUACAAAACUAAUGGUUAUAAGAACUGAAGAAGUAGAUUGUAAGCUGAACUUCUAAGGACAAAACAGCUAAACACUGCAUAAGACUUGGUCCAUAAAGUCCUGCCACAAAGGCUGUAAUCAACAAGAUCUAGAAUUAAGAGUGGCUUCCAGUCUUCAGAAACAGGCCACGACUACCAUGUCCUGGAUCAUCAAAAUAAUCUCAAGUCUGGCCUUUCCCUCUCUGACUGGGUUGUGAAUCCAAGAUUCAAAGGAGGAUAUCUGAUGGGCAAAAUCAAGGUCAUUUCGGAUACCCUCUGAUUUUCUGCAAGAGAUGAGGAGAAUGCAGCAUGGUAUUCCCAGCCUUUGCAGUACAAAAAAGCAUUUGAGAAGGAAGCUGGUGACUCAAGACCAGCCAGUCUGCAGUGUCCACCUCUCCCCUCCUGACCUAUUUCCCAAUGUAACGACUAUUCUUAUUUUUUUGACAUGAUUUGACCUGUUUGCUUAGAGGCCUCUUACACUCUGUGAUCAAUGCUGACGUGUUUUAUCCUGUAACCUUGCUUCUCUCCCUGUUGUCUAUCUCAGUGAAGAACAACACUAAAGGCUGGGGAGAUAGCCUAGAAGCUUUCCAGUUUCCUUCCAUGACACCAUUGCAGUCCUUGCUAAACAAGCUCCCAAUAGUGAAGAUUCUGUCUCCUUAAUCCCACGCGUGUUAUCUUCUCCAUUCUCUCUGCUACGUAGUUCAUCUGGUCUUUUCCGUUUCUUUCUGAGGCUGUGUUAAUAGCCUUUAAUUGUUCUUCUUCUGUGCGCUUUUUCUUUUCACAUACUCCAAGCAGAAGAUAUCCUUCCAACUACUCAGGAAUGUUUUUCUCACUGUGCUCCGCCCAUCGCAGAUACACUCCCUACCCGCAACCAUACACAGCUACUAGUAAUUGACUAAGAUCAUUUUGUAAUCCCUCACUCUCAUUCAUAUUAUUCCAUUUUACUGAAAGUUCUUUGUCUGGUCAAUGCCUUUUUAAAGUCUUAUCCAUCCUUUAAAAUUUUGUUCCAGUGUCACUUACUCCAGGAAGUCUGCCCAGAUGUCUUCUGCUUUAGAUAUGCAAAAUGCUACUAUAGCAUCAGACAUACUGUUCUGGCACCAGUACCAAGGCUUCACCUGUUUCUUUCCCCUAGGCUUGCAGAUCCUUGAGGCCAGGUGCCAGAUCUUAUUAAACUUUGCCUAAAUUAUAAAGUUGAAGAUGGAAAUGAGUAUUCAGGCAUAUUGUGAGAAAAAAAGAAUGAUUAAAAUUGAGUGGCCAUCUUAGCAGUAUUUUGCAAAGCUUGUAAAUUUGGUUAUAAUGUUUAGUUCAUUGCAGGCUGGAACUUGAGAGUCUAUUUUCCACAUUUGCCAUGUUUUCAGUAAAUGCUGACGGUAAUGAACAAACUUUGCUUUGUCCAGGAAGCUGUGUCCUAAAACAUUCUCUGUUCAAGGUAGUGUCCAUAAAUUUAACAAGCUAUGCAAGUAUAUAUCAUUUUAUAGUGCUUUGAUUCUGUGUUUUUUCCCUAAUCAAAGGUUUGUGGCAGCCCUGAAUUGAGCAAGGCUAUCAGCAUCAUUUUUCCAAUAGUAUUUGCUCAGUUUGGGUCUCUGUGUCACAACUGGCUAAUUCUUGGUAUAGUUCAAGCUUUUUCGUUAUUACAUUGUGGUGAUCUGUGAUCAGGGGUCUAUAACUCACUGUAGUUUCAGAUGAUGCUUAGCGUUUUUAAGCAGUACAUUAAAGCAUGUGCAUUGUUUUUUAGACGAUGCUAUUUCACACUUAAUAGACUAAAACAUUGUGUAAACAGAGUUUUCAUAUGCAUUGAGAAAUCAAAAAUUUGUGUGGCUUGCUUUAAUGGGAUAUAACCUGAAAUGUCUCUGAGGUAUGCCUGUAUUAAAGUCUUGUGCGUAUCA
Sus scrofa (pig) is the source of this 2152-nucleotide non-coding RNA. Lineage: Eukaryota; Metazoa; Chordata; Mammalia; Artiodactyla; Suidae. The record is from RefSeq and is a predicted model, not a curated record.